This 270-nucleotide ribosomal RNA is filed under the name uncultured archaeon. RNAcentral describes it as "partial 16S ribosomal RNA". It matches the Rfam family "Archaeal small subunit ribosomal RNA", at positions 477 to 747 of the family's 1478-position model. The record is from RNAcentral.
CAGCUCUCCGAGUGGUGUGGAUGUUUAUUGGGCCUAAAGCAUCCGUAGCUUGCUGAAUGAGUCCUCUGUUAAACCCAACGAAUUAAUCGUUGGAGUGCGGGGGAUACUGUUCGGCUUGGGGGCGAGAGAGGCAGACGGUAUUUCCGGGGUAGGAGUGAAAUCCUAUAAUCCCGGGAAGACCACCAGUGGCGAAGGCUGUCUGCUAGAACGCGCCCGACGGUGAGGGAUGAAAGCUGGGGGAGCGAACCGGAUUAGAUACCCGAGUAGUCC